Molecule: ribosomal RNA, 846 nt
Filed under: Micromonospora sp. WYP-33
Lineage: Bacteria; Bacillati; Actinomycetota; Actinomycetes; Micromonosporales; Micromonosporaceae
Description: bacterial SSU rRNA
Rfam family: Bacterial small subunit ribosomal RNA
Source: RNAcentral
GCAGUCGAACGCUGACCACUUUCGGGUGGGGAUGAGUGGCGAACGGGUGAGUAACACGUGGGUAAUCUGCCCUGCACUCUGGGAUAAGCCUUGGAAACGAGGUCUAAUACCGGAUAUCACCUUCCCUCGCAUGGGGGUUGGUUGAAAGUUCUGGCGGUGCAGGAUGAACCCGCGGCCUAUCAGCUUGUUGGUGGGGUAGUGGCCUACCAAGGCGACGACGGGUAGCCGGCCUGAGAGGGUGACCGGCCACACUGGGACUGAGACACGGCCCAGACUCCUACGGGAGGCAGCAGUGGGGAAUAUUGCACAAUGGGCGCAAGCCUGAUGCAGCGACGCCGCGUGAGGGAUGACGGCCUUCGGGUUGUAAACCUCUUUCGCCAGGGACGAAGCGCAAGUGACGGUACCUGGAUAAGAAGCACCGGCUAACUACGUGCCAGCAGCCGCGGUAAUACGUAGGGUGCGAGCGUUGUCCGGAUUUAUUGGGCGUAAAGAGCUCGUAGGCGGUUUGUCGCGUCGGCCGUGAAAUCUCCACGCUUAACGUGGAGCGUGCGGUCGAUACGGGCAGACUUGAGUUCGGUAGGGGAGACUGGAAUUCCUGGUGUAGCGGUGAAAUGCGCAGAUAUCAGGAGGAACACCGGUGGCGAAGGCGGGUCUCUGGGCCGAUACUGACGCUGAGGAGCGAAAGCGUGGGGAGCGAACAGGAUUAGAUACCCUGGUAGUCCACGCUGUAAACGUUGGGCGCUAGGUGUGGGCGACAUCCACGUUGUCCGUGCCGUAGCUAACGCAUUAAGCGCCCCGCCUGGGGAGUACGGCCGCAAGGCUAAAACUCAAAGGAAUUGACGGGGG